Molecule: ribosomal RNA, 449 nt
Filed under: uncultured bacterium
Lineage: Bacteria
Description: partial 16S ribosomal RNA
Rfam family: Bacterial small subunit ribosomal RNA
Source: RNAcentral
AGCGAACGCUGGCGGCAGGCCUAACACAUGCAAGUCGAACGAAGUCUUCGGACUUAGUGGCGGACGGGUGAGUAACACGUGGGAACGUGCCUUUAGGUUCGGAAUAACUCAGGGAAACUUGUGCUAAUACCGAAUGUGCCCUUCGGGGGAAAGAUUUAUCGCCUUUAGAGCGGCCCGCGUCUGAUUAGCUUGUUGGUGAGGUAAUGGCUCACCAAGGCGACGAUCAGUAGCUGGUCUGAGAGGAUGACCAGCCACAUUGGGACUGAGACACGGCCCAAACUCCUACGGGAGGCAGCAGUGGGGAAUCUUGCGCAAUGGGCGAAAGCCUGACGCAGCCAUGCCGCGUGGAUGAUGAAGGUCUUAGGAUUGUAAAAUCCUUUCACCGGUGAAGAUAAUGACUGUAGCCGGAGAAGAAGCCCCGGCUAACUUCGUGCCAGCCGCCGCAGUAA